Molecule: ribosomal RNA, 254 nt
Filed under: uncultured Ferrimicrobium sp.
Lineage: Bacteria; Bacillati; Actinomycetota; Acidimicrobiia; Acidimicrobiales; Acidimicrobiaceae
Description: partial 16S ribosomal RNA
Rfam family: Bacterial small subunit ribosomal RNA
Source: RNAcentral
UACGUAGGGGGCAAGCGUUGUCCGGAUUUAUUGGGCGUAAAGAGCUCGUAGGCGGCUUGGUCAGUCGGAUGUGAAAUCUCCAGGCUCAACCUGGAGCGGCCAUUCGAUACUGCCAUGGCUAGAGUCCGGUAGAGGAUCAUGGAAUUCCUGGUGUAGCGGUGAAAUGCUUUGAUAUCAGGAAGAACACCAGUAGCGAAGGCGGUGAUCUGGGCCGGUACUGACGCUGAGGAGCGAAAGCGUGGGGAGCGAACAGG